This 800-nucleotide ribosomal RNA is filed under the name uncultured Lake Michigan sediment bacterium LMRTGA6. RNAcentral describes it as "bacterial SSU rRNA". It matches the Rfam family "Bacterial small subunit ribosomal RNA", at positions 28 to 814 of the family's 1533-position model. Lineage: Bacteria; Pseudomonadati; Pseudomonadota; Betaproteobacteria. The record is from RNAcentral.
AUUGAACGCUGGCGGCAUGCUUUACACAUGCAAGUCGAACGGUAACGCGGGGGCAACCCUGGCGACGAGUGGCGAACGGGUGAGUMAUACAUCGGAACAUGUCCUGGAGUGGGGGAUAGCUCGGCGAAAGCGNAUUAAUACCGCAUACGCUCUGAGGAGGAAAGCGGGGGACCGUAAGGCCUCGCGCUGCGGGAGUGGCAGAUGUCGGAUUAGCUAGUAGGUAGGGUAAAGGCCUACCUAGGCGACGAUCCGUAGCUGGUCUGAGAGGAUGAUCAGCCACACUGGGACUGAGACACGGCCCAGACUCCUACGGGAGGCAGCAGUGGGGAAUUUUGGACAAUGGGGGCAACCCUGAUCCAGCCAUGCCGCGUGAGUGAAGAAGGCCUUCGGGUUGUAAAGCUCUUUCGGACGGGACGAAAUGGUUAGCGUGAAUAACGCUGACUGAUGACGGUACCGUAAUAAGAAGCACCGGCUAACUANGUGCCAGCAGCCGCGGUAAUACGUAGGGUGCGAGCGUUAAUCGGAAUUACUGGGCGUAAAGCGUGCGCAGGCGGUUCGCCAAGUCAGGUGUGAAAUCCCCGGCCUUAACCUGGGAAUUGCGCUUGAAACUAGCGGGCUUGAGUGUKGCAGAGGGGGGGGAAUUCCACNKUGUAGCAGUUGAAAUGCGUAGAGAUUGUUGGAGGGAAACACCCGAUGGCGAAGGCAGCCCCCCUGGGUCAAACACUUGACGCUCAUUGCACGAAAGCGUGGGGAGCAAACAGGAUWHGAUACCCUUGUAGUCCACGCCCUAAACGAUGUCG